Molecule: ribosomal RNA, 549 nt
Filed under: uncultured Bacillaceae bacterium
Lineage: Bacteria; Bacillati; Bacillota; Bacilli; Caryophanales; Bacillaceae
Description: bacterial SSU rRNA
Rfam family: Bacterial small subunit ribosomal RNA
Source: RNAcentral
GAGUUUGAUCCUGGCUCAGGACGAACGCUGGCGGCGUGCCUAAUACAUGCAAGUCGAGCGAACGGAUGAGGAGCUUGCUCCUCUGAAGUUAGCGGCGGACGGGUGAGUAACACGUAGGCAACCUGCCUCAUAGACUGGGACAACUUCGGGAAACCGGAGCUAAUACCGGAUAACACUUUCCUUUGCAUGAAGGAAAAUUAAAAGUUGGCGCAAGCUAACACUAUGAGAUGGGCCUGCGGCGCAUUAGCUAGUUGGUAAGGUAACGGCUUACCAAGGCGACGAUGCGUAGCCGACCUGAGAGGGUGAUCGGCCACACUGGGACUGAGACACGGCCCAGACUCCUACGGGAGGCAGCAGUAGGGAAUCUUCCGCAAUGGACGCAAGUCUGACGGAGCAACGCCGCGUGAACGAUGAAGGCCUUCGGGUCGUAAAGUUCUGUUGUUAGGGAAGAACAAGUAUUGUUCGAAUAGGGCAGUACCUUGACGGUACCUAACCAGAAAGCCACGGCUAACUACGUGCCAGCAGCCGCGGUAAUACGUAGGUGGCAAG